This 77-nucleotide small nucleolar RNA is filed under the name Rhizopus azygosporus. RNAcentral's name for it is "A. fumigatus snoRNA Afu_300". It matches the Rfam family "A. fumigatus snoRNA Afu_300". The record is from Rfam by way of RNAcentral. RNAcentral also lists the same sequence under 1 other name. Lineage: Eukaryota; Fungi; Mucoromycota; Mucoromycetes; Mucorales; Rhizopodaceae.
UGAUAUGAUGAUUCAACUUUAAAGUUGGAAUUACCGCCUGAAUUCCUAAUGAAGACAACAAAUGGCUGUUUCUGAUA